GGCUGAUAGAACUACGAUUCAUUCCAGGAAGAGGAGCGGUUUGAGAGAGAUACUUGUUUACAACAGAGAACAUUUCUCAACCAGCAGUAUCGUCACAAUUAACCACGGUGUGGGUUGAAUAUUUGACCCAUUCAGCUGGGUUAAACAGUAUUCUCCCAGGUGAGUGCACACCUUCCUCCGGUUCUCUGCAGGAAGUCCAGACUCAGACUACAUUUGUUCACCAGAGUCUGAAACUCUACAGGUGACAUCAGCACCAUGAAGUUAGAUCGAAAGGUAAUGAAAAUAUUUCAACACUCAAAUGUGACAUGUAGUCUGUAGUUGUCAUGUAGUCCAACCGUUAGAGAGGAAAGCCCCGCCCACAUCAGGUUUUCAUAAUGCUGCAUUCAGGCUCCGUCAGACAUUUUGCACUUUAACUUUGAUAAAUCACUUUUCAAGUUCAAACGUAAACAAGCGAUAAUUUCCGAUUGUACCAUUUCAUAUAAUUCCUACAAUCAUAGUUUGGCACCAAUUGAACACAAGACAAAACUGUUUAUGAUGUAAUAAGGCGGGAAAAAGCAGAAAGUUGUAGAUUAAUUAGGCUACGGUAACAAAUGAUGUUCUCCUUUUUUUUUAUAAAUGCUUUAACUUCUUUUCGUUUAAUCAUUUCUCCUUUUUAACUUUGCUUUGAUUUUAAAGGCCACAUGCCAAACAAAGAGGAGAACACAGAUUUGAGUCAUGGUGGAAUCUAUCAAACUGUCAAAAGAUUAAAAGCAAAUGUGAAUGAAAAAAAUACAUUUCUAAACAGUUUAACCAAAGUCCUUGAAUGAAUUCAUUGUCAGAGGGUUUGCUUUGUUAUUUUGUGAUCCAAUGAUAUUUUAUCUAAUCAGACAUAUUUCUGGUGUUUCAUGUUAAUCUUCUCUAAAUAACAAACGUCUCUGCUGCUCUCUGAUUUCACCGUCAGUCGAUGUUGUUGCUCUCAGCCAGCGCAGCUCCAAGUCCUGAUGUGCUCCUUCCCAUGGGAAACAUCUGCAGACCCUAAAAAAGCUUCACAAGUCAACACCCAGCACACAUGACGGAGCUGCUGUGGAGCUCAGAAGAUGAAAGAAAUGCUCAGAGACUGAAGUACACAUUCUUAUUGGAGGAAUCCUAAGGUCUAAAGGAUGAGCAUAGUGCAGGGCAUUUUCCUUAUUUAGAAAAUGUCAACUUCUAUGAUUUCAAUAGGCCUUUAUUGGUCAUAAUGGGAAGAUGAUUCCCAUAAUAUGUUACAUAAAAUACAUUAUUUAGUGAGCUGUUAAAGGAGCAUGCAGCUUUGUGAUGACUUGUUAUGAAUUGUUGAACCACUGGGGUUGGAUCUCUGGUGUCUUAUAAACCCAUGAGUUGUCUUCAAAGAUUUUAAAAGCAGCCUAAAGGACCAUUUGACGACUGUAUCACAUGUUUCUCUGUUUAAAGCUCCUGAUUGGUUCAAUGAUGUAAUAUUUGUUUAUCGUCUGUCUUUUGUUCUCUGUCUGAAACUCUUGUAUGCUGCUGUCUUGGCCAGGACUCUCUGGUGUUGUAUCUCAAAGAGAAUCUCCUCCUGGUAAAAUAAAUGUCAAAUGAAAUGAAAUAAAUAAAAAUGAGGAUUGGG
Molecule: non-coding RNA, 1603 nt
Organism: Labrus bergylta (ballan wrasse)
Lineage: Eukaryota; Metazoa; Chordata; Actinopteri; Labriformes; Labridae
Source: RefSeq, a predicted model, not a curated record